ACAUGCCUAAAAAAUAGUGUUAAUGCACCGGAUCCCAUUAUAACUCUGCAGUUAAGCACGUUCAGGCUAGAGUAGUACCAGGAUGGCUGACCUCCCAAAAGUCCUAGUGUUUUACAUGCC
Picea glauca (white spruce) is the source of this 120-nucleotide non-coding RNA. The record is from Rfam. Lineage: Eukaryota; Viridiplantae; Streptophyta; Pinopsida; Pinales; Pinaceae.